RNAcentral lists this transfer RNA (73 nucleotides) under Beta vulgaris subsp. vulgaris (sugar beet). RNAcentral's name for it is "tRNA tRNA-Val". It matches the Rfam family "tRNA". Rfam says of the family: Transfer RNA (tRNA) molecules are approximately 80 nucleotides in length. Their secondary structure includes four short double-helical elements and three loops (D, anti-codon, and T loops). The record is from Rfam by way of RNAcentral. Lineage: Eukaryota; Viridiplantae; Streptophyta; Magnoliopsida; Caryophyllales; Amaranthaceae. RNAcentral also lists the same sequence under 3 other names.
GGGCGCAUAGCUCAGUUGGUAGAGCACGGCCCUUACAAGGCUGGGGUCGGCAGUUCGAGCCUGUCUGCGCCCA